Molecule: ribosomal RNA, 505 nt
Filed under: Onchidella sp. GG-2005
Lineage: Eukaryota; Metazoa; Mollusca; Gastropoda; Systellommatophora; Onchidiidae
Description: eukaryotic LSU rRNA
Rfam family: Eukaryotic large subunit ribosomal RNA
Source: RNAcentral
CCAAGGAGUCUAACAUGCGCGCGAGUCAUUGGGCUGUACGAAACCCAAAGGCGCAGUGAAAGCGAGGGUCGCCUCGGGCUGACCCAGGUGGGAUCCCUUCCUCUCUCCCGAGGAGGGGCGCACCACCGGCCCGUCCCGUCUGCGCUGUCAGUGGGGCGGAGCAGGAGCGUGCACGCUGGGACCCGAAAGAUGGUGAACUAUGCCUGAGUAGAACGAAGCCAGAGGAAACUCUGGUGGAAGUUCGUAGCGAUUCUGACGUGCAAAUCGAUCGUCAAACUUGGGUAUAGGGGCGAAAGACUAAUCGAACCAUCUAGUAGCUGGUUCCCUCCGAAGUUUCCCUCAGGAUAGCUGGCGCUCGAUCGCAGUUUUAUCCGGUAAAGCGAAUGAUUAGAGGUCUUGGGGACGAAACGACCUCAACCUAUUCUCAAACUUUAAAUGGGUAAGAAGUCCUCCUCGCUCGAUUGGAGGAGGGCCCCCUUUUCGAAUGCGUGUGCCAAGUGGGCCA